GGUCAGAGCGGGUGUGGGGUGUCAGACCAAGCUUUUGCUUUUCAAACCUGCAGUAAACUCAUUCAGGUCUUCAGACAGCUGUUGAUUGGCCUCAGUGCUGGUUUCACUCCAUCCCUGCACCAUUUCUUUGUUGCCCCAUGCCAAGGUCUAUAGAAUGUUGGGAGGGUGGGGGGAGCGCAGUCUCGAGGGUACCGCCGGCCUGCGAGGGCCGAUGGGUGUAUGUGACGAGUGGGGCGGGGCCGAGAGCCGUGGAGUGAUUAGAGAUGAGCGACACCUGCUCGACCCACCGGUCUCGAGUCCCACGGAGGAGAUGGAGGGAUAUAAAACCAGAGCGA
Carassius auratus (goldfish) is the source of this 335-nucleotide long non-coding RNA. RefSeq lists it as uncharacterized. The transcript is spliced from 3 exons. The record is from RefSeq and is a predicted model, not a curated record. Lineage: Eukaryota; Metazoa; Chordata; Actinopteri; Cypriniformes; Cyprinidae.